GGGGCUUUGGGGACAGUGUGCACCCACAGAGUGGCCUUCUUCCGACCUUCCUCCUCCUGGUCCCCAUCUCCCAAGAGGGCCUCUGGAAACAGCGAUUCCGAGAAUCAGCCCUGGGGACCCCGUGCCACCCAGACUGGGAGCUUUGCUGUGCUGUGUGACCACGGGGUCUGUGUUGAGGUCGGAAAGCUGGCUCACAAGUAUGUUUUUUGGCCCUAAUGGGUGGUUCAGACUCCAGGCUUGAGGUGGCACAGAAGCACAGAUACCUCCUCCAGGACCGACCCAUAUGCUGUCACUGCUGGUCAAGAGGCUGGCCCCACCCUUCACGUAUCCUCAGCACCUUUGGUCACAGGACCUGGCUGAGCAGAGCUGCCAGUGUAGAGCCUGACGUGGGCUGGAGUCCUGCAUUUGUCACCUUUCCUUCUAGACCAAACUUUCAAAAUGCAGCAGAGAGGAGCUGUAUGGCCAGUUGGG
Molecule: long non-coding RNA, 471 nt
Filed under: Equus asinus (donkey)
Lineage: Eukaryota; Metazoa; Chordata; Mammalia; Perissodactyla; Equidae
Description: lncRNA (ENSEASG00005033681.1)
Source: RNAcentral